RNAcentral lists this ribosomal RNA (353 nucleotides) under Acinetobacter baumannii. Its description in RNAcentral is "bacterial SSU rRNA". It matches the Rfam family "Bacterial small subunit ribosomal RNA", at positions 164 to 511 of the family's 1533-position model. Lineage: Bacteria; Pseudomonadati; Pseudomonadota; Gammaproteobacteria; Moraxellales; Moraxellaceae. The record is from RNAcentral.
UAAUACCGCAUACGUCCUACGGGAGAAAGCAGGGGAUCUUCGGACCUUGCGCUAAAUGAUGAGCCUAAGUCGGAUUAGCUAGUUGGUGGGGUAAAGGCCUACCAAGGCGACGAUCUGUAGCGGGUCUGAGAGGAUGAUCCGCCACACUGAGACUGACACACGGCCCAGACUCCUACGGGAGGCAGCAGUGGGGAAUAUUGGACAAUGGGCGGAAGCCUGAUCCAGCCAUGCCGCGUGUGUGAAGAAAGCCUUUUGGUUGUAAAACACUUUAAGCGAGGAAGACGCUACUUGUACUAAUACUACCGGGGAGUGAACAUGUCUCGAAAAUAAGCCCUGCGCUAAAUCUGUGCCAG